CGGCGCACAGCUCAGUAACACGUGGCCAACCUGCCCUUGGGACGGAAACACCCCCGGGAAACUGGGGCUAAUUUCCGAUAGGUGAAGACUCCUGGAAUGGAUUUUCGCUCAAAGGGCGCCUGGGGCAUGCUCCCAGGCGUUGCCAAGGAUGGGGCCGCGGCCGAUCAGGUUGUUGGUGAGGUAAUGGCCCACCAAGCCUUUAACCGGUACGGGCCGUGGGAGCGGUAGCCCGGAGAUGGGCACUGAGACAAGGGCCCAGGCCCUACGGGGCGCAGCAGUCGCGAAAACUUCGCAAUAAGCGAAAGCUUGACGGGGCCAUCCCGAGUGCCAUCUGCUGAGGAUGGCUUUUACCUAGUAUAGAUAGCUGGGGGAAUAAGGAGAGGGCAAGUCUGGUGUCAGCCGCCGCGGUAAUACCAGCUCUCCGAGUUGUAGGGAUGUUUAUUGGGCAUAAAGCAUCCGUAGCCGGCUGGACAAGUCCUCUGUUAAAUCCAGCGACCAAUCGUUGGUCUGCGGGGGAUACUGUCCGGCUAGGGGGCGGGAGAGGCCGUCGGUAUUCUUGGGGUAGGGGUGAAAUCCUAUAAUCCCAGGAGGACCACCAGUGGCGAAGGCUGUCGGCUAGAACGCGCCCGACGGUGAGGGAUGAAAGCUGGGGGAGCGAACCGGAUUAGAUACCCGGGUAGUCCCAGCUGUAAACGAUGCAGGCUAGGUGUUAGGGCGGCUACGUGCCGCUCUAGUGCCGUAGGGAAGCUGUUAAGCCUGCCGCCUGGGGAUACGCCGCGAGGCUGAACUUAAAGGCCA
Molecule: ribosomal RNA, 798 nt
Filed under: uncultured soil archaeon
Lineage: Archaea
Description: bacterial SSU rRNA
Rfam family: Archaeal small subunit ribosomal RNA
Source: RNAcentral